This is a non-coding RNA of Canis lupus familiaris (dog), 83 nucleotides long. Lineage: Eukaryota; Metazoa; Chordata; Mammalia; Carnivora; Canidae. The record is from Rfam.
GCCUGGGUGGCUCAGUGGUUGAGCAUCUGCCUUUGGCUCAGGGUGUGAUCCCGGAGUCCUGGGAUCGAGUCCCACAUCAGGCU